Long non-coding RNA from Xiphophorus couchianus (Monterrey platyfish), 1836 nucleotides. RefSeq lists it as uncharacterized. The record is from RefSeq and is a predicted model, not a curated record. Lineage: Eukaryota; Metazoa; Chordata; Actinopteri; Cyprinodontiformes; Poeciliidae. The transcript has 2 exons.
GCAUUAAGAAAAAAAUUUUGAUUUUUUUUUCUUUUGUAAAUCUAGAUUAAAAUGUCUUUGGUUUUUGAAGAUUUUGUUUUAAAACAAAAAACACCCUCAAGCUAAUGCUUGUGUAACUCAGCACACUAUAGUUUUUUACUACGUUGUACCCACUUCUUAGUGGUUUUUAUGAAUUGUUAGACCUAAAGUUCUUGGAGAUCUGGCUUACGAUUAUUUUUGUAAUUUCCUGUUGAAAUGUGGUUAAUAAAAUUCACAGCAAAAACAAAACCUUAUCUCUUAGAGUUAUGCUUUGCGAAUGUUUGUUUGUUUUUACGCCUUUUACUAUGUUGUAGCAGUCAUUCUACUCUCAUAUGAAAAGCUUUUUUCAUUUAGAUUUGAAACUAGAGCACUGAAAUAAGGUUGAAGCAAUUUGUCUUUUGCCUUUCUUAGAAUGAAACUUUUGAUUUUACAAACAAAUUAGCUGCUUCAUUACUGGAUUAUUUAAAAAAACAAAACAAUGCAGUUAUUGAGUGAAGAAGGCAGAGUUAUCAUCAGUAUCAGGAGGAAAAAAACAACCCAUAAAUGUCUCUAGUAUUUUGACAACAAAACAUUUCCUUUUAGGCUAUUCUCCUUUUCCCUGUGACCAAACAAGCCAACUACUUUUGCUUAUUUGCAUCCACACCCGCAUGCGAAAUGUUCUGGCUUUCUAAAAUAAACACGCAUGCAGUGCUCUACGUGCAGCAUGGUAGAAAGAAAGAUUCAAAGAAGCACAAAAGAUCAGCUUUGGCCAUUCCAUACACAUGUAACUUUACUGAGAAUCACUUCAAAGCUUCUGCAGGCUUAAAUCCUGAAAUGUUUUAAGUUCUGACUGCUUUAAACUUGUUAAACUGGACGCAAUCAUGUAUCCUAAUCAGAACUCUUAAGUUUAUUUUCUGACAAAGGUGUUUCAUAAAACGCCCAGUAUACAGUGCCUUGCAAAAAUAUUCAUACCUCUUUUACAAUUUAUGUCAUAGACCAAUACAACGUAUUGCAUAGGGAUUAGGAAGAUUAUGUGUGGCACAAGUCUUUUUGGACAUGCUGUAUGUCUAUCAGAUUUGCACUUCUAGCAUGCUGGGUCAUCUCUCCAAUGUUUGCACAUUCUUCUUUGUAAAACAGCCCAAGCACAACUUGCCACAAAUUCUAAACUAGACAGAACUCUGAACUUUGACAGAGCCACUCUUACACUUGAAUUUGCAUACCUCUGUCUCUGUGCCAAUUGUUUUGCUGCUCUCAAAAAGGUUUUCAUACAGGAUUGUUUCGAUUGAUCCAUCCCCUCAUCAACUCGAACCAGUUUCCAAAUCCCUGCUAAGGAAAAGCCUUCAUACACCAUAAAUCUUAGUCUUAAUUUCUCUCUUAAAAUCCCAGUAGAAUACAUUGACAUUUGUGGUUUUUACCUGACAAACAUGUUGAAAUACUUAUUUUGAUUCAAUUGCCGUAAUAACGAAGAUUCAAUCUACCGUCACAAUGUAAAAACCCAAUGGCAUUAGUAGGUUAAACAAUGAAACUGUAUGCUAUUGGUUAGCUUGAUGCUAGACUGGGAUGCGACGACCUCAGUUAAAAGAGACACAAUAUUUUAGUUAUGUAGCGCCCUCUGCAGGCGAAAAAGAAUAGCUACAUGGCAAAUUCAGCGUCAGGAACCCAUCUGUGCGGUCAGGAUAACAUUGAGCCUUUGUCUGACCGUGGAGCGACACAUCAUGGGAAUUAAGAAACACAAGCUCCAGAGCAAGUGACUUUUACCGCAGCGUGAUGGGAGAGAGACGCCAUACAGAUUCAGUGCUUUUCUUCCCAUUUAACAACAAGGCGCAGUUUUAGGUUGUU